This 253-nucleotide ribosomal RNA is filed under the name uncultured bacterium. RNAcentral describes it as "partial 16S ribosomal RNA". It matches the Rfam family "Bacterial small subunit ribosomal RNA", at positions 524 to 776 of the family's 1533-position model. The record is from RNAcentral.
UACGAAGGGGGCUAGCGUUGUUCGGAAUUACUUGGCGUAAAGCGUGCGCAGGCGGCUUCUCAAGUCAGGGGUGAAAGCCCAGAGCUCAACUCUGGAAUUGCCUUUGAGUCUGAGUGGCUUGAGUACGGGAGAGGUGAGUGGAAUUCCCAGUGUAGAGGUGAAAUUCGUAGAUAUUGGGAAGAACACCGGUGGCGAAGGCGGCUCACUGGCCCGUAACUGACGCUCAUGCACGACAGCGUGGGGAUCAAACAGG